CCCAUGGCAUUUGGAAGGUCCUGGGCCAGGGACUGAAACCACGCCAUAGCAGCAACGUGGGCUGUAGCAGUAACGACGUCGGAUCUUUAACCCGAGGUGCCACAAGGGAACUUCUACAAAACUCUCUUUUAAUCACCUAAUGUAUUUUUUAUUGAGUCCCAAUAAAGUUGAUUGUUACAUUUUUUAACCAAUAAAAAAUUAUGCAAUGGUAAGCUGGUAUUUAUUAAGCACUUAGCCUAUGCUAGCUACACUGCCAGAAACUUUAUAUGCAUGAAGCAACAUAUUUUUUAGAAUGGCGCUUGAGGGUAGGUAUUAUUUUUAUGCCAGAGGGUAGGGAAAAAUUAAUAGCCUUCCCAAGUCACAUAGCUAGUAAGUGGCAAAAAGAGGUUAUGAUUUAAGUUGUCUGUGAAGACUAUGAUUCCUGUGGUCUGGUCCUACACAGCCCUCAAGAGGCAGGGCCCUCCGAAACCCACAAUUCAAUAGCCACACUUUGAAACUGAACAGCUUAGGGUCCUUCCUGUUCUUCUCCCUGAUUUAAUUGCACCCUAAACACAAUCCCCCGUAAGCUCAAGAUUAGGCAUCCUGAGCCUAAUUGCCUGUGGGUUAAAGAUUAUCAGCAUAUGAUGUUUUUCAGGAACUUUCCUAGUUUGUUCUAAUCUCUGAUCAAUGUGCCUUUUUGCAAGUACUGUUAUUCUAGACAAUAACCUAGAAGGCCAUCAUCAUGAAAUCUCCCGACUCUAGCUUCAAUGACUAAGAUUCCCCCAAAGAAAAAAGAACGCAUGUUUGUCCCAAUCCUGAUGACUAUCUGAAAAUCUGUUUUUCUCCUUUUUAUUAUAAAACUCCUCUCAAUUCUUUCAGCGGGGGGGGGGACGGGGCACAGUCUUUAAGGCAUUAGGCUAUUGUGGCUCUCCUUUGCCUGGCAAAGCAAUAAAGCUAUUUUGUUCUCCUUUACCCAAAACUCUUUCUCUGCAUUUCAGUUCAGCACUGGCAGACAGAGGCCGAAUUCUGUCCACAUGACCCUAUGCUGGUCCUAAAGAUGCUCACAGUCUAUUGGAAGGAAAUGACAGAGAAGCAAAUGAAUACUCUGAAAUACACACUGAAACCUGUGUUACAGUGGAGUUCAAGCAACAAGCUCUGUUAAUUCAAGAUGGGCACCAGCAUGCACUGGAGUGUACCCUGUUAAUUUGAGCUCCUAGUAGCAUUACAGUAGGAAAAAAAAUGGCAACCUAUUACUAAAUCCUAUUUUUCACAUAUCAAGGUCUCUCUUGCCAUUUUUUCCCAGGUUGCAAAGCCACCAGGUGCUGACUGGAAAAUGUUAGGCAGAGUUCUUGUCCCAGCUCUGGAGAUGAAGAGCUGUGAAGGUUUUUCUGGGUCUCUGCUUUCUUGCGGAGGGAGAGUGGUACAUAUAAGUAAUUCCUAUCUCAUAAGGCUGCCAUAAAUAUUAAAUGAGAAAUAUGUGUAUAUCACCUAGCAUGUUGUAAAAGCAUAGGCCAAAGUUGCUUUCCUCCAAAACUUGCUAAAGAAACAAAUUACAAAAGAUAAACAACAGAAUGUAUUGCUUGAUUCUUUUCGUUCACAUUCCAUCUUUCCGUAUUAAAAGAAAUGGAAGCUAUUUAAAAUUUAAAAUAUUUGGGGCAGUGAAGAGAAAGCCAAGGGAACAUUUAUUCAUUCAUGAAGCUGGGAAGGGGGGAUGUGACAUACUGCGUUGUUCCACGUCAGGUUUAUCUAGAACACAUUUUUCCCUCUGUGUGAAGGGCAGACAUGAGCUGUCAUUUGCCUGUUUGCUCUCAAUUCUGUUUCUCCCCUUCUAGACUCUGCUCUCUUUUGCAGGGAGUUGGACUCUGCCAGCCACAUUCUCCAGAAUCCUACCAACAGACUACCAAUUAGAUCCAAGCAGUAGGAGAUGCUGAUGUGUGUCUGGAGGAUGGGAGGAAAGAAGCCAUUGUUAUCCUCUGUUUUCAGCUGCCUGCCCAGCCGUGGUGGUGGCAGAAGGCUCUGGGCUCCAAUGGCGCUGGCUAUUCCAGGAGCAGGAACAGCAGCCUUGAGUGGCAGUGGCUCCAGGAGCCACUGAGGUCCCAGCAGUAGCAUCAGGAGGUUCCAAAGCAGAUGCAGACUUGGACAACUCUAAGGAGUACAGGUCUCUGCACCUGGGCGCCACCUCGGCUCUGCUCUUCUGGUGGUGGUAGCGGUUUGACACUAUCUCUGUGUUAUCUCGCCUUAUGGUUUUUGUUCCUUCAGGCCUUACUUUUGGAAACUAUCCCCUGUCUUAAACUUCGUUUGAUAACCCUAAUACAGUUUUUAUUUUCCUGAUUAAACCUUUACUGAUAUAGUUAGUCAAGAAAAAAGGAAUGAGAAAUAUUUUUCUGAUAACCAGAAUCAUAUUCAACCCAAAGCCCAUAAAAUGUAGUCUAAUUGUUUUUACAAGCCUUGUCAGCAUAUAAAAAUGUCCUUUGAUAUUUUGCAUUUAUGUAGAGUUCAAAAGUUUUCUGAUGACAAAUGGCAUCGGUUCAUAGAAUGCCAGAAUAGUUUUGGCAAGCAGUUACAGUUUUAGAAAGUUUAAAAUAUAGUGAGCAUGGGAUUUAUCUCCAAGAUAUAUAAACACCUCCUGAAGCUCAAUAUCAAAAAAACAAACAACCCCAUCAAAAAAAAAAAAAAAAAAAAAAAAGGGUAGAAGGUCUAAACAGACAAUUUUCCAAAGAAGACUUACAGAUGGCCAAAAAACACAUUAAAUGAUGUUCAACAUCACUAAUUAUUAAAGAAAUACAAAUUAAAACCACUAUGAGGUACCACCUUACACUAGCCAGAAUGGCCAUCAUUAAAAAGUCUAUAAACAGUGAAUGCUGGAGAGGGUACGAAGAAAAGGAACCCUCUUGCACUGCUGGUGGGAAUGUAAACUGGUGCAAACCCUAUGGUAAGCAGUAUGGAGAGUCCUCAAAAAUCUAAAAAUAGAAUUACCAUUUGAUCUAGCAAUCCCGCUCUUGGGUAUCAAUCCAGAGAAAAUCAUGACUCAAAAAGAUACAUGUACCCCAGUGUUCACUGCAGCACUAUCUGCAAUAGCCAAGAUAUGGAAGCAACCUAAAUGUCCAUCGACAGAGGAGUGGAUAAAGGAGAUAUAGCACAUAUGCACAAUGGAAUAUUACUCAGAAAUAAAAAGGAAUGAAAUAAUGGCAUUUGCAGUAACAUGGAUGGACCUAGAAAUUAUCAUGCUAAGUGAGGUUAGUCAGACAGUAGGACACAAACGUCAUAUGCUAUUACUUAUGUGUGGAAUCUAAAAAAAAGGAUACAAUGAACUUCUUUGCAGAACAGAUACUGACUCACAGACUUUGAAAAACUUAGGUUUACCAAAGAAGCCAGGUUGGGGGGAUGGGGGAUGGGCUAGGGGUUUGGGAUGGAAAUGUAAAAUUGGGAUUUGAUGGUGGUUGUACAACUACAAUAAAAUUCAUUGAGUAUAUAUAUGUAUAUAGUGAGCAUGUAGAAUGUGAAAAAAAAUUUCCUGCUGUUAGCAAGACCAUGAAAUGUUCUACUUAAUAAAGAGACCUUAGAACUGGCUAAAGAACUAGGUCUUGGGACAUCUGUUUGAAAGGCUGGAAAUGUAAGAGACACCCACGUGAAAGAGAGGAAGUUAAGGAUAACUUUCUUUCUUCAAGUUUAAGUUUCUCUACAUAAGGCCUCCCCAUUAGUGAAAAUCACUCCCACCAACAUCCUGCACUUGGCCUGCCUUGGAAUUUCAGAGCACUCUUUAGGACAAAGAUAUUAAAACAACAUUUUUGGUCAAUCCUUGAAAGACUUUCAGGUAAUAAAAAUAUAAAGACCAUUAGUGUCCAGGCUUCUUCAGGUCAACAGCAUGGGGGAAAAAAUCAUUUCUAGAAAAAGGAAGGAGCCACUGAAUGUUUAUAGAUUGAAUGGGUUCUCAAAAUACUAGAAAAUUAAAGACAUACUCAGAAUACAUUGUUUUUUGAAUGGGAUUUAAGAUCAGAAUGAAAGAUAGUCCUAGAGAAGAGCUAGAAAAUGCUCUCAGUACGGUGGAGGCUGACAACAAUCCACUGGCAGCAUCUGUGGGGCAAUUAUAUAGAGCAGCACCAACUGAGGCAAGGGAGAGGGAACAUUCUGGAAAGAUGCCUUGGUUUGCCUUGCAAAGUCCUAGGAAGAAAAUUAAAUGCAGCAGCUUAUUUAUUGAUCUACAUGGGGGGCAGUCUGCCUUGCAAAUUUUCACUGCCUUCGGUUCACCUAUCAAAAGGCAACAAUGUAAAUCCUACAAUGAUGCUGAACAAAAUGUCAUUUAAUUGUCAGGAAACUUCUACAUUCAGUCAGUUGCUCCUUUGUUCUGAUCUCAAAGUCUAAGCAAGAAAAGAAAAAAAAAAAAAAUCUCUGUAAGCAGAGCACAGGACCUAUGCACUAUUCUGUCAUCUCGGCCCAUUCCCAACUUCUCUGUAAAAGCUGGAGUAUCUUAUUGUUACUGGCAGUAUUUGUACUCAUCAGCAUCGACCUCCUGUCUAUUGAGCCCUCCUAGUUUCUACUGGCCUUUUGUACCAGGGUCCUGAUGAGGCCCAAAGCUGCGCUCCUGAAUCAUUACUAUUCUCACAGUCUGACAACAGCUUCCAAAUUACAAGUAAAACCACCCUACUGGGGUACGAAGAGGCACAGACUCUACUUUCCCUUAAUAACUCACUAUAGCUUUAUCUUCCUAUUUUAUAUACAUUUUUCCUUUUUUUUUUUUUUGACUGACCCACAUCUCCUACCCCCAUUUCAGACAAUGAGCUCAUUAAAUUUACUUCAAGUGUAACUUAGAGAUAUUGCAGGUCAGUUCUAGACCACCACAAUAGAGUGAAUAUUGUAAUAAAUCAAUACACACAAUUUUUUUAGUUUCCCCAUUCAUAUAAAAGUUAUGUUUACACUUUCCUGUAUAGUCUAUUAAAGUGUGCAAGAAUAUUAUGUCUAAAAAACAAUGUGCAUUCCUUAAUUAAAAAAUACUUUAUGGCUGAAAAAUGCUAACCACUAUCCAGGCCUUUGGUGAGUCAUAAUCUCUUUGCCAAUGGAGGGUCUUGCCUCAAUGCUGACGGCUGCUGAGUGAGCAGAGUGGUGGCUGCUGAAGGUCAGGGUGACUGCAGCAACUUCUUAAGAUAGCAAUGAAGUUUGCCACAUCAACUGACUCUUCAUUUCACAAACUGCUCUGGAGCAGGCAGUACAGUUUGUGACAUUUUAGCCACAGGAGAUGUCAUUUCAAAAUUGGAGGCAAUCCUGCUGCUAUUUUAUCAACGAAGCUUAUUUUUGGUGUCAUUUCAACAAUCUUCACAGCAUUUUCACCAGGAGCAGAUUCCGUCUCAAGAAACCACUUUCUUUGGUCAUCCAUAAGAAGCAACCCCAGGCGUUCUCAUCGUGGCUCAGCAGUAACAAACUCAACCAGGAUCCAUGAGGAUGCGGGUUCAAUCCCCGGCCUCACUCAGUGAGUUAAGGAUCUGGCGUUGCCGUGAACUGUGGUGUAGGCUGCAGAUGUGGCUUGGAUCCAGUGUUGCUGUGUGUGGGGUGUAGGCAAGCAGCUACAGCUCCAAUUCUACCCCUAGCCUGGGAACUUCCGUAUGCCACAGGUAUGGCCCUAAAAAAAGAGAGAAGAUAAAAAGAAGCCCCCCCCCCCAAAUCACUUUCUUAAUUCAUCCAUUCAAGUUUUAUCAUGAGAUUAUAGCAAUUCAGUCACAUCUUCGGGCUCCACUUCUAAUUCUAGUUCUCUUGCUUAUUUCCAUCACAUCUGCAAGUAUUUCCUCCACUGAAGUCUUGAAGCCCUCAGUCAUCCAUGAAUCAACUUCUUCCAAACCCCUAUUCAUGUUUAUAUUUUGACCUCUUCCCAUGAAUUGCACAUGCCCUUUCGGCAUCUAGAAUGCUUUAAAUCCUUUCUGGAAGGUUUUCAAUUUACUUUGCGCAGAUUCAUCUGAGGAAUCACUAUCAGUGGCAGCUAUAGCCUUAUGAAACAUAUUUCUUAAAUCCUAAGGCUUGAGGGUUGAAAGUAUUCCUUGAUCCAUGGGCUGCAGAAUGGAUGCUGUGUUAGCAGGCAUGAAAACAACAUUCCUCUCACUGUACAUCUUCUUCGGAACUCGUGGGUGGCCAGAGGCAUUGUCAAUGAAGAGUAAUAGUUUGAAUCUUUUUUUCCUGAACAGUAGUUAUCCAGAGUGGGCUUAAACUAUUCCAUAAACCAUAUUGUAAACAUGUGUGCUGUCAUCCAGGCUUUAUUGUUCCAUUUUAUAGAGCACAGAAUAGAUUUGGCAUAACCCUCAAGGGCCCUAGGAGUUUCAGAAUGGGGAGUUCCCGUCGUGGCUCAGUGGUUAACGAAUCCGACUAGGAACCACAAGGUUUCAGGUUCGGUCCCUGCCCUUGCUCAGUGGGUUGAUGAUAUGGCGUUACUGUGAGCUGUGGUGUAGGUCGCAGACUCCGCUCGGAUCCACGUUGCUGUAGCUGUGGCAUAGGCUGGUGGCUACAGCUCCGACUGGACCCCAGCCUGGGAACCUCCAUAUGCCAUGGGAGAGGCCCAAGAAAUAGCAAAAAGACAAAAAAAAAAAAAAAUGGUAAAUGAGCACAGGCUUCCAUUGAAAGUCAGCCAUUCCAUUAGCUAACAAGACAAGAGCCUGUCCCUUGAAGCCAGUCAUUGAUUUCUCCUCUUUAGCUAUGAAAGUCCUAGAAGGCAUCUUCUUCCACUAUAGGCUGUUUUACCUACACUGAAAAUCUGCUGUUGAGUGCAGCCACCUUCAUGAAUGAUGUUAGCUAGAUCUUCUGAAUAACUUGCCGCUUAACCUUGCACUUUUCUGUUAUCAAGAUGGCAUCUUUCCUUAAACCUCACGAACUAACCAUUGCCAAUUGCAGACGUUCUGCAGCUUCCUCACUUUUCUCAGUCUUCACAGAAUCAAAGAGCAUUAGGACCUUGUUCUGGAUUUGGAUUUGGCUUAAGGGAAUAUUGCGUCUGGUUUGAUCAUCUAUCCAGACAAGUAAAACAUUCUCCAUAUCAGCAAUAAGGCUGUUUUAUUUUCUUACAAUUCAUGUGUUCACUGGAACAGCAUUUUCAGUUUCCUUCGAGAACUUUUCCUUUGCAUUCACAUCAUGGCUAACUGUUUGGAGCAAGGGGCCUAGCGU
This 7116-nucleotide long non-coding RNA is filed under the name Sus scrofa (pig). Its description in RNAcentral is "lncRNA (ENSSSCG00035010231.1)". The record is from RNAcentral. Lineage: Eukaryota; Metazoa; Chordata; Mammalia; Artiodactyla; Suidae.